RNAcentral lists this ribosomal RNA (295 nucleotides) under uncultured bacterium. RNAcentral's name for it is "partial 16S ribosomal RNA". It matches the Rfam family "Bacterial small subunit ribosomal RNA", at positions 29 to 351 of the family's 1533-position model. The record is from RNAcentral.
AGCGAACGCUGGCGGCAGGCCUAACACAUGCAAGUCGAACGGAUCCUUCGGGAUUAGUGGCGGACGGGUGAGUAACACGUGGGAACGUGCCUUUUGGUUCGGAACAACUCAGGGAAACUUGAGCUAAUACCGGAUGUGCCCUUGGGGAAAGAUUUAUCGCCAUUAGAGCGGCCCGCGUCUGAUUAAGCUAGUUGGUGGGGUAAAGGCCUACCAAGGCUACGAUCAGUAGCUGGUCUGAGAGGAUGGAUCAGCCACACUGGGACUGAGACACGGCCCAGACUCCUACGGGAGGCAG